AGCAGCCGCGGUAAUUCCAGCUCCAAUAGCGUAUAUUAAAGUUGUUGCAGUUAAAAAGCUCGUAGUUGAAUUUCGGGAUUGGCGCAUCGGUCGUGCCUCACGGGGUAUGAACUGGUGCAGUCAAUUUCUCACCUUCUGGAGAACCGCGAUGUCCUUAAUUGGAUGCCGCGGGGAACCAGGACCUUUACUUUGAAAAAAUUAGAGUGUUUAAAGCAGGCAUUUUUGCUUGAAUACAUUAGCAUGGGAUAAUAAAAUAGGACGGCAUGGUUCUAUUUUGUUGGUUUCUAGGACCACCGUAAUGAUUAAUAGGGAUAGUUGGGGGCAUUAGUAUUCAAUUGUCAGAGGUGAAAUUCUUGGAUUUAUUGAAGACUAACUACUGCGAAAGCAUUUGCCAAGGAUGUUUUCAUUAAUCAAGAACGAAAGUUAGGGGAUCGAAGGCGAUCAGAUACCGUCGUAGUCUUAACCAUAAACUAUGCCGACUAGGAAUCAGACGAUGUUAAUUUUUUAAUGACUCGUUUGGCACCUUACG
This 529-nucleotide ribosomal RNA is filed under the name uncultured Glomeromycotina. RNAcentral describes it as "SSU rRNA". It matches the Rfam family "Eukaryotic small subunit ribosomal RNA", at positions 569 to 1092 of the family's 1831-position model. Lineage: Eukaryota; Fungi; Glomeromycota. The record is from RNAcentral.